CCUACGGGUGGCAGUAGUGAGGAAUAUUGGUCAAUGGGCGUAAGCCUGAACCAGCCAAGUCGCGUGAGGGAUGAAGGUUCUAUGGAUCGUAAACCUCUUUUAUAAGGGAAUACAGUGUGGGACGUGUCCUGUUUUGUAUGUACCUUAUGACUAAUGAUCGGCUAACUCCGUGCCAGCAGCCGCGGUAAUACGGAGGAUCCGAGCGUUAUCCGGAUUUAUUGGGUUUAAAGGGUGCGUAGGCGGCCUUUUAAGUCAGCGGUGAAAGUCUGUGGCUCAACCAUAGAAUUGCCGUUGAAACUGGGAGGCUUGAGUAUGUGUGAGGCAGGCGGAAUGCGUGGUGUAGCGGUGAAAUGCUUAGAUAUCACGCAGAACCCCGAUUGCGAAGGCAGCAUGCCGGCUUCCGACUGACGCUGAAGCACGAAAGCGUGGGGAUCGAACAGGAUUAGAUACCCUGGUAGUC
This 460-nucleotide ribosomal RNA is filed under the name uncultured bacterium. RNAcentral describes it as "partial 16S ribosomal RNA". It matches the Rfam family "Bacterial small subunit ribosomal RNA", at positions 338 to 795 of the family's 1533-position model. The record is from RNAcentral.